RNAcentral lists this ribosomal RNA (715 nucleotides) under Paraplatyarthrus sp. 3 MJ-2015. Its description in RNAcentral is "eukaryotic LSU rRNA". It matches the Rfam family "Eukaryotic large subunit ribosomal RNA", at positions 123 to 656 of the family's 3401-position model. The record is from RNAcentral. Lineage: Eukaryota; Metazoa; Arthropoda; Malacostraca; Isopoda; Paraplatyarthridae.
AUGGGUCACGAGCCUGCGAGGGAUGCCGCGUAUGGGAGGGAUCAAGAGGGUGCUAGACUCGGCCUGAAGUAUUUAUUGAAUGUUGUCACACUGCCCAUAGAGGGUGUAAGGCCCGUAAGGCCGGCGUCUAGAUUACCUCGCUGGUUCCUCUCGAGAGUCGGGUUGCUUGAAAGUGCAGCCCUAAGUAGGUGGUAAACUCCAUCUAAGGCUAAAUAUUCCCACGAGACCGAUAGCGAACAAGUACCGCGAGGGAAAGUUGAAAAGAACUUUGAAAAGAGAGUUCAAUAGAGCGUGAAACUACCACGAGGCUAAAGCGAGUGAGCGUACGUAUCCGAACGGUUUGAUUCAGUCCGCCCGAGCACGAUGAGCAGUGGGGGGUCGUAAUACGUCAUUAACGGAUCUCCCGAAAGGAUCCGAGCUUUACGCUCGGCCUCUAGGGUGACCGGCGUAUCUCCCGCUUUGUUCUGUAGGGGGACGCAUUUCCGGCCGAAGUAGGGCGUCGCGGCCGUUUCGGGGGUGUCUAAGACACGGGGGUCCUGGAAUCCGCAUCUUCUCGUCCCGGCGCGCUCUACCGCCCCUUCACGGAGGAGCGGCAUCACCCCGGGGUCGCGAGUCGAGCGCGGCCGCCUCGUUGAUCUGACGGCCUCCGAGACCCUGAAAUCACGUUUCAAGCGGGCCUGCGACGGGGGCUCGUCCGCUCCCUCGUCUCUUAUUA